UGUUGGGUUAAGUCCCGUAACGAGCGCAACCCUUGUCCUUAGUUACCAGCACGUUAUGGUGGGCACUCUAAGGAGACUGCCGGUGACAAACCGGAGGAAGGUGGGGACGACGUCAAGUCAUCAUGGCCCUUAUGUCCUGGGCUACACACGUGCUACAAUGGCCGGUACAGAGCGCAGCGAAGCCGCGAGGCAAAGCGAAUCGCAAAAAGCCGGUCUCAGUACGGAUUGGAGUCUGAAACCCGACUCCAUGAAGUUGGAAUCGCUAGUAAUCGCGCAUCAGCAUGGCGCGGUGAAUACGUUCCCGGGCCUU
This 310-nucleotide ribosomal RNA is filed under the name uncultured Spirochaeta sp. RNAcentral describes it as "bacterial SSU rRNA". It matches the Rfam family "Bacterial small subunit ribosomal RNA", at positions 1073 to 1382 of the family's 1533-position model. The record is from RNAcentral. Lineage: Bacteria; Pseudomonadati; Spirochaetota; Spirochaetia; Spirochaetales; Spirochaetaceae.